AGCAGCUUCGGCGGCACAGAGGACUGAUGGCUGGCGGCAGGGAGGGCAAUCCCAAAGCAAGCGCGUCGGAACUUUGACACCAUCGUCAUUCUUAUACAUUGGAGGAUCUGGAAAGAGAGGAAUGCUAGAAUUUUUUAGCAGUCAGCUUGUAGUAUUGAUAGGGUCCUAGACCAAAUCAAAGAGGAUAUUGGAGUGUGGAGAUCUGCGGGAUGUGUGGCUGAUUUGGGUAGCUAG
Molecule: ribosomal RNA, 234 nt
Filed under: Triticum aestivum (bread wheat)
Lineage: Eukaryota; Viridiplantae; Streptophyta; Magnoliopsida; Poales; Poaceae
Description: partial small subunit ribosomal RNA
Source: RNAcentral